GAUGAACGCUGGCGGCGUGCCUAAUACAUGCAAGUCGAACGAGUUCUCGUUGAUGAUCGGUGCUUGCACCGAGAUUCAACAUGGAACGAGUGGCGGACGGGUGAGUAACACGUGGGUAACCUGCCCUUAAGUGGGGGAUAACAUUUGGAAACAGAUGCUAAUACCGCAUAGAUCCAAGAACCGCAUGGUUCUUGGCUGAAAGAUGGCGUAAGCUAUCGCUUUUGGAUGGACCCGCGGCGUAUUAGCUAGUUGGUGAGGUAAUGGCUCACCAAGGCGAUGAUACGUAGCCGAACUGAGAGGUUGAUCGGCCACAUUGGGACUGAGACACGGCCCAAACUCCUACGGGAGGCAGCAGUAGGGAAUCUUCCACAAUGGACGCAAGUCUGAUGGAGCAACGCCGCGUGAGUGAAGAAGGCUUUCGGGUCGUAAAACUCUGUUGUUGGAGAAGAAUGGUCGGCAGAGUAACUGUUGUCGGCGUGACGGUAUCCAACCAGAAAGCCACGGCUAACUACGUGCCAGCAGCCGCGGUAAUACGUAGGUGGCAAGCGUUAUCCGGAUUUAUUGGGCGUAAAGCGAGCGCAGGCGGUUUUUUAAGUCUGAUGUGAAAGCCCUCGGCUUAACCGAGGAAGCGCAUCGGAAACUGGGAAACUUGAGUGCAGAAGAGGACAGUGGAACUCCAUGUGUAGCGGUGAAAUGCGUAGAUAUAUGGAAGAACACCAGUGGCGAAGGCGGCUGUCUGGUCUGUAACUGACGCUGAGGCUCGAAAGCAUGGGUAGCGAACAGGAUUAGAUACCUGGUAGUCCAUGCCGUAAACGAUGAAUGCUAGGUGUUGGAGGGUUUCCGCCCUUCAGUGCCGCAGCUAACGCAUUAAGCAUUCCGCCUGGGGAGUACGACCGCAAGGUUGAAACUCAAAGGAAUUGACGGGGGCCCGCACAAGCGGUGGAGCAUGUGGUUUAAUUCGAAGCAACGCGAAGAACCUUACCAGGUCUUGACAUCUUUUGAUCACCUGAGAGAUCAGGUUUCCCCUUCGGGGGCAAAAUGACAGGUGGUGCAUGGUUGUCGUCAGCUCGUGUCGUGAGAUGUUGGGUUAAGUCCCGCAACGAGCGCAACCCUUAUGACUAGUUGCCAGCAUUUAGUUGGGCACUCUAGUAAGACUGCCGGUGACAAACCGGAGGAAGGUGGGGAUGACGUCAAAUCAUCAUGCCCCUUAUGACCUGGGCUACACACGUGCUACAAUGGAUGGUACAACGAGUUGCGAGACCGCGAGGUCAAGCUAAUCUCUUAAAGCCAUUCUCAGUUCGGACUGUAGGCUGCAACUCGCCUACACGAAGUCGGAAUCGCUAGUAAUCGCGGAUCAGCACGCCGCGGUGAAUACGUUCCCGGGCCUUGUACACACCGCCCGUCACACCAUGAGAGUUUGUAACACCCGAAGCCGGUGGCGUAACCCUUUUAGGGAGCGAGCCGUCUAAGGUGGGACAAAUGAUUAGGGUGAAG
RNAcentral lists this ribosomal RNA (1494 nucleotides) under Lacticaseibacillus casei. RNAcentral's name for it is "bacterial SSU rRNA". It matches the Rfam family "Bacterial small subunit ribosomal RNA". The record is from RNAcentral. Lineage: Bacteria; Bacillati; Bacillota; Bacilli; Lactobacillales; Lactobacillaceae.